AGAUAUUUGACAUCAAUGGAAUAAUAACAGAAUAAGAAUACAAAGAGACAAGAAAUGUUUGUUCUUUUAUAUCAGCGAAUACCUUUCGGGUUGAACAUUGUUUUUGGACCUUUAGUUUCAUAUUUGGCUAUUCUGAUGAACAUAGUUGUCUGUUGGACACUUACUUCCAGAAAACUUAUAUCAACAUCGACUGUACUCAUGCAGGGAUUAGCACUUGCCGAUGGUCUCACUGCAUUUUUUCUUUAUGGCAUUGAACCUAUUUUCUCGCCAUUUUACAGAUAUGUUACAAGCAAAGUUGUCGAUUUACCACCCCCUUACUGUAUCAUACACUACUGGACCACACCAAUGGCUGAUAGUUUUCAUUUGACGUCUGUACUGCUAACCACGUGUCUAGGUUUACAGAAAAUGAUAGCCAUUGCGUUUCCAAUAUGGACUCGUUCAAACAUGUCGCCAAAGAGAUCUGCAAUAGUAUGCUGCGUAUGUUUCCUUUUUUCACUCUCAAUGCAUCUCCCUCGAGCAUUAUUGGUUCAGUUCGGUGAAGCACAAAAUGAUAUAUGUAAAGUGCUCAAGCCAACAAAAGAGUUAGAAAGUUACGCUCUGACAACUUACCCACUCAUAUACACUGUGUUGUUGGCAUUAGCAGUGGCAGCCAUGUUAACUUCUACUGUCUAUAUAACGUAUAAACUGUGUAAGCGGAAACAACUGAGAGGAA
RNAcentral lists this long non-coding RNA (712 nucleotides) under Mytilus galloprovincialis (Mediterranean mussel). Lineage: Eukaryota; Metazoa; Mollusca; Bivalvia; Mytilida; Mytilidae. The record is from RNAcentral.